Molecule: ribosomal RNA, 253 nt
Filed under: uncultured bacterium
Lineage: Bacteria
Description: partial 16S ribosomal RNA
Rfam family: Bacterial small subunit ribosomal RNA
Source: RNAcentral
UACGUAGGGGGCAAGCGUUGUCCGGAAUCAUUGGGCGUAAAGAGCGCGUAGGCGGCCCUGUAAGUCCGCUGUGAAAGUCAAGGGCUCAACCCUUGGAUGCCGGUGGAUACUGCAGGGCUAGAGUCCGGAAGAGGCGAGUGGAAUUCCUGGUGUAGCGGUGAAAUGCGCAGAUAUCAGGAGGAACACCGAUGGCGAAGGCAGCUCGCUGGGACGGUACUGACGCUGAGGCGCGAAAGCGUGGGUAGCAAACAGG